Molecule: long non-coding RNA, 474 nt
Organism: Cyprinodon tularosa
Lineage: Eukaryota; Metazoa; Chordata; Actinopteri; Cyprinodontiformes; Cyprinodontidae
Exons: 2
Source: RefSeq, a predicted model, not a curated record
CACUACAGCGCCAGAGUGUUUGCCAGUUAUGGUUAGCAAGCCUGAGCCAACCUGCCUGUCUGAAUCUCUGACUCCCUGAUAACCUGAACCUGAACCUAACCUGUUUUUGUCUUCUCUGCUUCCCAGGAAGAACCUGUCUGAACCCUGAAACUCUAGAAGAGUUUCUCAGUCUGAAACCAGCCUUUCUGAUCUCUGAAGAACUCUGGAAGUCAAAUCUGUCAGAUACCUGCCUGCCCGCUCUCAGAAGAAACUGAAAGAGAAACACAGAUCCGAAUCUGCAAGAUCACAAACCAAGCUCUGCCUCUGCCUUGCCCUCUGCCUGCCGACAGCCUCUGGACCCUCCUGGUUCCCCCCCUCUGCCGCUCUGCUCAAACCUCAGAACAGAGAAACCAGUCGUGACCAGUCCUGGACCUGAUAACCCCCAGAAUCAGUGCUUUAUUCUCAUUGUGUCAAACAAUAAACUGUUGAACUUUU